UAAUGUAUGGGGAUCUGCCCGAUAGAGGGGGGUAACUACUGGAAACGGUGGCUAAUACCGCAUAAUGUCUACGGACCAAAGCAGGGGCUCUUCGGACCUUGCACUAUCGGAUGAACCCAUAUGGGAUUAGCUAGUAGGUGGGGUAAAGGCUCACCUAGGCGACGAUCUCUAGCUGGUCUGAGAGGAUGAUCAGCCACAUGGGACUGAGACACGGCCCAG
Molecule: ribosomal RNA, 219 nt
Filed under: uncultured bacterium
Lineage: Bacteria
Description: partial 16S ribosomal RNA
Rfam family: Bacterial small subunit ribosomal RNA
Source: RNAcentral